This 799-nucleotide ribosomal RNA is filed under the name uncultured Mycobacterium sp. RNAcentral describes it as "bacterial SSU rRNA". It matches the Rfam family "Bacterial small subunit ribosomal RNA", at positions 554 to 1351 of the family's 1533-position model. Lineage: Bacteria; Bacillati; Actinomycetota; Actinomycetes; Mycobacteriales; Mycobacteriaceae. The record is from RNAcentral.
CUGGGCGUAAAGAGCUCGUAGGUGGUUCGUCGCGUUGUUCGUGAAAUCUCACGGCUUAACUGUGAGCGUGCGGGCGAUACGGGCAGACUUGAGUACUGCAGGGGAGACCGGAAUUCCUGGUGUAGCGGUGGAAUGCGCAGAUAUCAGGAGGAACACCGGUGGCGAAGGCGGGUCUCUGGGCAGUAACUGACGCUGAGGAGCGAAAGCGUGGGGAGCGAACAGGAUUAGAUACCCUGGUAGUCCACGCCGUAAACGGUGGGUACUAGGUGUGGGUUUCCUUCCUUGGGAUCCGUGCCGUAGCUAACGCAUUAAGUACCCCGCCUGGGGAGUACGGCCGCAAGGCUAAAACUCAAAGAAAUUGACGGGGGCCCGCACAAGCGGCGGAGCAUGUGGAUUAAUUCGAUGCAACGCGAAGAACCUUACCUGGGUUUGACAUGCACAGGACGCCGGCAGAGAUGUCGGUUCCCUUGUGGCCUGUGUGCAGGUGGUGCAUGGCUGUCGUCAGCUCGUGUCGUGAGAUGUUGGGUUAAGUCCCGCAACGAGCGCAACCCUUGUCUCAUGUUGCCAGCGGGUAAUGCCGGGGACUCGUGAGAGACUGCCGGGGUCAACUCGGAGGAAGGUGGGGAUGACGUCAAGUCAUCAUGCCCCUUAUGUCCAGGGCUUCACACAUGCUACAAUGGCCGGUACAAAGGGCUGCGAUGCCGCGAGGUUAAGCGAAUCCUUUUAAAGCCGGUCUCAGUUCGGAUCGGGGUCUGCAACUCGACCCCGUGAAGUCGGAGUCGCUAGUAAUCGCAGAUCA